Molecule: ribosomal RNA, 221 nt
Filed under: uncultured bacterium
Lineage: Bacteria
Description: partial 16S ribosomal RNA
Rfam family: Bacterial small subunit ribosomal RNA
Source: RNAcentral
GACGAACGCUGGCGGCGUGCUUAACACAUGCAAGUCGAGCGGUAAGGCCCUUUCGGGGUACGACGAGCGGCGAACGGGUGAGUAACACGUGGGUGACCUGCCCUCAGCUCUGGGAUAAGCCUGGGAAACCGGGUCUAAUACUGGAUAUGACUCCAUGACGCAUGUUGUGGGGUGGAAAGCCUUGUGCGGCUGAGGAUGGGCCCGCGGCCUAUCAGCUUGUU